Molecule: ribosomal RNA, 253 nt
Filed under: uncultured bacterium
Lineage: Bacteria
Description: partial 16S ribosomal RNA
Rfam family: Bacterial small subunit ribosomal RNA
Source: RNAcentral
UACGUAGGUGGCAAGCGUUGUCCGGAUUUACUGGGCGUAAAGAGCGCGCAGGCGGUCGUUCAAGUCGCGUGUGAAAGCCCCCGGCUCAACUGGGGAGGGUCACGCGAUACUGAUCGACUCGAAGGCAGGAGAGGGUAGUGGAAUUCCCGGUGUAGUGGUGAAAUGCGUAGAGAUCCGGAGGAACACCAGAGGCGAAGGCGGCCUACUGGGCCAGUACUGACGCUGAGCCGCGAAAGCCAGGGGAGCGAACGGG